UACGGGGGGUGCGAGCGUUGUCCGGAAUCACUGGGCGUAAAGGGCGCGUAGGUGGUUUGAUAAGGGUGUGGUGAAAGUCCGGGGCUCAACCCCGGAUCUGCCGUGCCGACUGUCAAGCUCGAGGGCUGUAGAGGCAGACGGAAUUCCGGGUGUAGCGGUGGAAUGCGUAGAGAUCCGGAGGAAGACCGGUGGCGAAGGCGGUCUGCUGGGCAGUUUCUGACACUGAUGCGCGACAGCGUGGGGAGCAAACAGG
RNAcentral lists this ribosomal RNA (253 nucleotides) under uncultured bacterium. RNAcentral describes it as "partial 16S ribosomal RNA". It matches the Rfam family "Bacterial small subunit ribosomal RNA", at positions 524 to 776 of the family's 1533-position model. The record is from RNAcentral.